AGGGUGUAAACGCUGCAGACUUGGUGUUGGAGGCCCUUUGGGGGCAUUCAGUGCCGGAGAGAAGUUGUUAAGUCUGCUACUUGGGGAGUACGUCCGCAAGGAUGAAACUUAAAGGAAUUGGCGGGGGGAGCACCGCAACGGGAGGAGCGUGCGGUUUAAUUGGAUUCAACACCGUAAACUCACCAGGGAAGACUGUUACAUGAAGGCCGAGAUGAAGACUCUGCAUGACUAGCUGAGAGGUGGUGCAUGGCGUAGACGUCU
This 261-nucleotide ribosomal RNA is filed under the name uncultured archaeon. RNAcentral's name for it is "partial 16S ribosomal RNA". It matches the Rfam family "Archaeal small subunit ribosomal RNA", at positions 748 to 1009 of the family's 1478-position model. The record is from RNAcentral.